This 860-nucleotide ribosomal RNA is filed under the name uncultured bacterium. RNAcentral's name for it is "bacterial SSU rRNA". It matches the Rfam family "Bacterial small subunit ribosomal RNA", at positions 28 to 897 of the family's 1533-position model. The record is from RNAcentral.
GAUGAACGCUGGCGGCGUGCCUAAUACAUGUAAGUCGAACGGGGAGCAGUUGUAGCAAUACGAUUGCUUCUAGUGGCGAACGGGUGAGUAACGCGUGGAUGAUCUGCCCCGAAGUGAGGGAUAACGGCUCGAAAGGGCUGCUAAUACCACAUGUGGUUAUAGAGAUUAGAGGCUUGAUAACUAAAGGAGCAAUUCGCUUCGGGAGGAAUCUGCGUCCCAUCAGCUAGUUGGUGAGGUAACGGCCCACCAAGGCGACGACGGGUAGGGGGCCUGAGAGGGUGGCCCCCCACAAUGGAACUGAAACACGGUCCAUACACCUACGGGUGGCAGCAGUAGGGAAUAUUGCACAAUGGGCGAAAGCCUGAUGCAGCAACGCCGCGUGCGCGAUGAAGGCCUUCGGGUCGUAAAGCGCUUUUCGGGGAGAUGAGGAAGGACAGUAUCCCCGGAAUAAGUCUCGGCUAACUACGUGCCAGCAGCCGCGGUAAAACGUAGGAGGCAAGCGUUAUCCGAAUUUACUGGGCGUAAAGCGUGUGCAGGCGGUUCGGUAAGUUGGAUGUGAAAUCUCCUGGCUCAACUGGGAGAGGUCGUUCAAUACUGUCGGACUAGAGGGCGGUAGAGGGAGGUGGAAUUCCGGGUGUAGUGGUGAAAUGCGUAGAUAUCCGGAGGAACACCUGUGGCGAAAGCGGCCUCCUGGACCGUACCUGACGCUCAUACACGAAAGCUAGGGGAGCGAACGGGAUUAGAAACCCCGGUAGUCCUAGCCGUAAACGAUGUGGACUGGGUGUCGGUGGGGUAAAAGCCAUCGGUGCCGAAGCUAACGCGAUAAGUCCACCGCCUGGGGACUACGGCCGCAAGGUUAA